This 1598-nucleotide ribosomal RNA is filed under the name Sillago sihama (northern whiting). RNAcentral describes it as "partial 16S ribosomal RNA". It matches the Rfam family "Bacterial large subunit ribosomal RNA", at positions 224 to 2798 of the family's 2925-position model. The record is from RNAcentral. Lineage: Eukaryota; Metazoa; Chordata; Actinopteri; Sillaginidae.
AAACCAUUCUCCCCCCUUAGUACGGGCGACGGAAAAGGGAUACGAGGAGCUAUAGAGAAAGUACCGCAAGGGAAUGCUGAAAGAGAAAUGAAAUAACCCAGUAAAGCGCAAAAAAGCAGAGGUUUUUCCUCGUACCUUUUGCAUCAUGAUCUAGCCAGUAAGACUUAAGCAAAGAGCACUUUAGUUUAAGACCCCGAAACUAUGGUGAGCUACUCCGAGACAGCCUAUAAUAGGGCGAAUCCGUCUCUGUGGCAAAAGAGUGGAAAGAGCUCCGAGUAGUGGUGACAGACCUAUCGAACCUAGUUAUAGCUGGUUGCCUGAGAAAUGGAUAAGAGUUCAGCCUCAUGGCUUCUUCCCUUAGAACCUUGCCCUUCGGCCCAACGAAAAAACAAAGGAAGCCAUGGGAGUUAAUCAAAGGAGGCCCAGCUCCUUUGAUAAAAGAUACAACUUUCCUAGGAGGGUACAGAUCAUAUUCCCCUCAAGGCUUAGUGUCCUGGUGGGCCUAAGAGCAGCCAUCCAUAUGAAAAGCGUUAAAGCUCAAACACGUCAGCCUCCCUGUAAUAAUGAUAAUUACAUCUCAACCCCCUUGAUCCUACCAGGCCGUUCCAUACCCCUAUGGAAGCGAUUAUGCUAGAAUGAGUAAUAAGAGGGCACGACCCUCUCCCCGCACACGUGUUCAUCGACCCGGACCCACCAUCGAACUUUAACGGCCCCAAUAAUAGAGGGAAGUGAUUAACAAAAGAGACAACAGGACAAGCACUCAGCCACUUAACCCACCGUUGACCCCACACUGGAGUGCCACUCGGGAAAGACCAAAAGAAGAAGAAGGAACUCGGCAAACACCUAAAGCCUCGCCUGUUUACCAAAAACACCGCCUCUUGCAAGAUUAACGAAUAAGAGGUCCCGCCUGCCCUGUGACCACUGAGUUCAACGGCCGCGGUAUCCUGACCGUGCGAAGGUAGCGCAAUCAAUUGCUCCUUAAAUGGGGGCCUGUAUGAAUGGCGCAACGAGGGCUUAACUGUCUCCUUUUUCAGGUCAGUGAAAUUGAUCUCCCCGUGCAGAAGCGGGGGUAAAGCCAUAAGACGAGAAGACCCUAUGGAGCUUUAGACGCCAAGGCAGACCAGGUUUAUCACCCCCCUUUAAAGGGCAAAACUUUUUGGCCUCCUGCCCGAAUGUCUUCGGUUGGGGCGACCCCGGGGGAAAGAAAAGCCCCCGAGCAGAAAGAGAAUCUAAUUCUCCAAGCCGAGAGUCUCCACUCUAAUAAUCAGAACCUCUGACUUAACUGAUCCGGCAAUGCCGAUCAACGGACCAAGUUACCCUAGGGAUAACAGCGCAAUCCUCUUUUAGAGCCCAUAUCGACAAGGGGGUUUACGACCUCGAUGUUGGAUCAGGACAUCCUAAUGGCGCAGCCGCUAUUAAGGGUUCGUUUGUUCAACGAUUAAAGUCCUACGUGAUCUGAGUUCAGACCGGAGCAAUCCAGGUCGGUUUCUAUCUAUGCUAUGAUCUUUUCUAGUACGAAAGGACCGGAAAGAAAGGGCCCCUACUUCAAGCACGCCCCACCCCUAACUAAUGAAUACAACUAAAUUAGAAAAAGGGGC